Molecule: small nucleolar RNA, 104 nt
Organism: Nomascus leucogenys (northern white-cheeked gibbon)
Lineage: Eukaryota; Metazoa; Chordata; Mammalia; Primates; Hylobatidae
Gene: SNORD13
Product: small nucleolar RNA, C/D box 13
Source: Ensembl
AUCCUUUUGUAGUUCAUGAGUGUGAUGAUUGGGUGUUCAUACGAUUGUGUGAGAUGUGCCACCCUUAAACCUUGUUACGACGCGGGCACAUUACCCUUCUGACG